Molecule: ribosomal RNA, 469 nt
Filed under: uncultured bacterium
Lineage: Bacteria
Description: bacterial SSU rRNA
Rfam family: Bacterial small subunit ribosomal RNA
Source: RNAcentral
ACUCCUACGGGAGGCAGCAGUGGGGAAUAUUGGACAAUGGGGGAAACCCUGAUCCAGCCAUGCCGCGUGUGUGAAGAAGGCCUUCGGGUUGUAAAGCACUUUCAGUGGGGAGGAAAGGUUGAUGGUUAAUACCUAUCAGCUGUGACGUUACCCACAGAAGAAGCACCGGCUAACUCCGUGCCAGCAGCCGCGGUAAUACGGAGGGUGCAAGCGUUAAUCGGAAUUACUGGGCGUAAAGCGCGCGUAGGUGGCUAAUUAAGUCAAAUGUGAAAUCCCCGAGCUUAACUUGGGAAUUGCAUUCGAUACUGGUUAGCUAGAGUAUGGGAGAGGAUGGUAGAAUUCCAGGUGUAGCGGUGAAAUGCGUAGAGAUCUGGAGGAAUACCGAUGGCGAAGGCAGCCAUCUGGCCUAAUACUGACACUGAGGUGCGAAAGCAUGGGGAGCAAACAGGAUUAGAUACCCUGGUAGCUA